Molecule: ribosomal RNA, 450 nt
Filed under: uncultured bacterium
Lineage: Bacteria
Description: partial 16S ribosomal RNA
Rfam family: Bacterial small subunit ribosomal RNA
Source: RNAcentral
GUGGGGAAUAUUGGACAAUGGGCGAAAGCCUGAUCCAGCCAUGCCGCGUGUGUGAAGAAGGUCUUCGGAUUGUAAAGCACUUUAAGUUGGGAGGAAGGGCAGUAAGUUAAUACCAUGCUGUUUUGACGUUACCGACAGAAUAAGCACCGGCUAACUUCGUGCCAGCAGCCGCGGUAAUACGAAGGGUGCAAGCGUUAAUCGGAAUUACUGGGCGUAAAGCGCGCGUAGGUGGUUUUGUAAGUUGGAGGUGAAAUCCCCGGGCUCAACCCUGGAAUUGCUCUCAAAACUACAAGACUUGAAUUCGGGAGAGGAUAGCGGAAUUGUCAGUGUAGCAGUGAAAUGCGUAGAUAUUGACAGGAACACCAGUGGCGUAAGCGGCUAUCUGGACCGACAUUGACGCUGAGGCACGAAAGCGUGGGGAUCAAACAGGAUUAGAAACCCCAGUAGUCC